Vicia faba (fava bean) is the source of this 219-nucleotide non-coding RNA. Lineage: Eukaryota; Viridiplantae; Streptophyta; Magnoliopsida; Fabales; Fabaceae. The record is from the annotation of a GenBank genome assembly.
AUGCUGGACAAAACGUUGCGUUUGGUGUGGAUACGGUUCCGAAAUCAUGUGACGGUUCAUCUUCCUCUCAAAGUACGAUCUCUUCUUCUUGUCUCUCUCUUUCCAUUGCACAAGAUCUUCCUCACAGCCAUGACCGCCAUGCCUCUCCUACUUCUCCGAUCGCCUUUAUCUCCUUCGCGCUUCAAUCACAGCGGCUCCGCCUUAAUUCAUUCUGACUAG